GAUGAACGCUGGCGGCGUGCCUAAUACAUGCAAGUCGAGCGAACAGACGAGGAGCUUGCUCCUCUGACGUUAGCGGCGGACGGGUGAGUAACACGUGGAUAACCUACCUAUAAGACUGGGAUAACUUCGGGAAACCGGAGCUAAUACCGGAUAAUAUAUUGCACCGCAUGGUUCAAUAGUGAAAGACGGUUUUGCUGUCACUUAUAGAUGGAUCCGAGCCGCAUUAGCUAGUUGGUAAGGUAAAGGCUUACCAAGGCGACGAUGCGUAGCCGACCUGAUAGGGUGAUCGGCCACCCGGGAACUUAGACACGGUCCAGACUCCUACGGGAGGCAGCAGUAUGGAAUCUGCCGCAAUGGUCGAAAGCCUGGCGGAGCAACGCCGCGUGAGUGAUGAAGGUCUUCGGAUCGUAAAACUCUGUUAUUAGGGAAGAACAAAUGUGUAAGGAACUAUGCACGUCUUGACGGUACCUAAUCAGAAAGCCACGGCUAACUACGUG
Molecule: ribosomal RNA, 497 nt
Filed under: uncultured bacterium
Lineage: Bacteria
Description: partial 16S ribosomal RNA
Rfam family: Bacterial small subunit ribosomal RNA
Source: RNAcentral